This 508-nucleotide ribosomal RNA is filed under the name uncultured bacterium. Its description in RNAcentral is "partial 16S ribosomal RNA". It matches the Rfam family "Bacterial small subunit ribosomal RNA", at positions 30 to 523 of the family's 1533-position model. The record is from RNAcentral.
AUUGAACGCUGGCGGCAUGCCUUACACAUGCAAGUCGAACGGCAGCGGGGGAGAAGCUUGCUUUUCCUGCCGGCGAGUGGCGAACGGGUGAGUAAUACAUCGGAACGUGCCCUGUAGUGGGGGAUAACUAGUCGAAAGAUUAGCUAAUACCGCAUACGACCUGAGGGUGAAAGUGGGGGACCGCAAGGCCUCAUGCUAUAGGAGCGGCCGAUGUCUGAUUAGCUAGUUGGUGGGGUAAAGGCCUACCAAGGCGACGAUCAGUAGCUGGUCUGGGAGGACGAUCAGCCAGACUGAGACUGAGACACGGCCCAGACUCCUACGGGAGGCAGCAGUGGGGAAUUUUGGACAAUGGGCGAAAGCCUGAUCCAGCAAUGCCGCGUGUGUGAAGAAGGCCUUCGGGUUGUAAAGCACUUUUGUCCGGAAAGAAAUGGCUCUGGUUAAUACCUGGGGUCGAUGACGGUACCGGAAGAAUAAGGACCGGCUAACUACGUGCCAGCCGCCGCCGUAA